UCGAGAUUUGGAGUCGUUCAAAUGUAAUAGGUAAUAAAAUUGUCUGGCAGCUUCCACAGUCACAAGAUUUUUCCUUUUUUACGCCAGUUUCUUCUCUAGCAUGGAGACUGGCAGAGAGCCCUUGUGUUUAUGUCCAUAGAACCGGACAUGACAUUGUUAUUGUUGUUAUUAUUCGCUCCUGUAGAAUGCAACCCAGGGCCAGCAAUAUAUCUGAUACCGACAGCUGACAUGCCGAAGUCACAGAACAGUGACACAGCUUGCGCCUCUCCUGAGGCUUUAUUACACCGCCCGCUAAGAAGAAGAAGCACCUCACCGAGGCAAGGCAAGGAAAGGGCAUUAACUACAAUUUUUCACAUUCACGCAAGGUUGCAUGUACAGUUCCAUUUUUAUGGACACGGGGAUGGAAUUCAUCCGACCUAGUUCCUCUGGGAUCCUUUUAUCCCCAACAGAGAGAAGCAGGAGCUUUUGAAACGCAAUUCAUCUCGUCAUCCUGCAGCAGACAUCUGAGAAACGUCCAGUGAAUGUGACCGUGGAAGCGCCUCUCUUGCCGUGAGACAGCCCAGGGCAACGAGGGCAGCCCGUCCCGCGCUGUCCCGCACAGCAGCCUCGGCUCACCCGCCCCAUUUCAUCAGUCUAAAAAAUGCAGUAGUCUAAGAGCACGUUUCCCUGCAAUGUGGUGAAACUUGAGAACGGAGCACUGAGUAUUUUAACUUCUUAACAAGGGAAACGGCAACCCAUGUAGCACCCGAACAGCCCUUCGUGCAGGGAAGAGCAGCGGCGGAGGGACACCGCUCUCUGUCACCGCACUGCGUCACACAGCGGAAAAGCUCCCCCGGGAGCGCAGCGGCUGCCAAACUGCUUGGCCAGCGCUCAGCUCCACACUUACGUGCUUUGCUGAACAGCAGUCAUUUCAGCAUGCGCUUCAGGUGAAGCACUUGCUCUCUGUCUUUGCUACGUCGGGGCCCCUAAGGUUAAUCCCUGUGGGUUUUUUACAUUAACUUGGAAAUAUUUCACAAACUAUUCUGUGCCAAUUGCAUGUUAAAAGAAGUUACAACAAUACAUCUCCCAUUAGUAAUCCAAUCAGGUUCACUAUAAUGAGCAACACAGAAAGAACUAAAAAGAUGUCCCGAGCUCUGCCAGCUGUCUUGUGCUGCCGGUGUACUUAGAAAAUACAUGUCAGCAGCUCAGCAAAUCCUUGACAUCACCAGCAGGGUCAUAUGGGAAAUAAUUCCUUACAUUUCCAAAUGUCAGGAGGCUGCUUUGCUGUGAGAGCUGGCUCUGGAGCCCUUCCCAGCAGCAGCGACGCAGUGUGAGCGCUGGAACACUCCUCCUGGAGUCCUCGUUGGGGCCUCAAAAGCUUGUUGGUGACAGACCUUUAGUGACUGCUUCGCCAUUUCCCUGGAAAUACCAUGCACACUCGAUACAAAAAUGUUAACUAAACAUCGUUGUGUAUUUAACGAGAAAACUGUGGUAAUUACAAAUAAAACAAAAGCCCGGAGAAUAGGCCGAAAAGCUGUAGAAGCUUUGCUGUUUCCACUACUUGCAGCCAUGACACAUGGCAAAAGCUUAGCUAUUUCCAUUCUUUGUAGCUGUUCUUUGUUUUCCUGCUGGACUUAACUGUACCGGCUGUUACUCAAAUACUGGGAGACGCUACUUGGAAGGUCACUGUAACGUGCCAACGCGUAGACUUUGCACUGUAAAUCCCGAGCGCUUUCAAUCAUCCGCUGACAGCAGACACAAAGGAAAUCUAAAUAAACCAUGAUCUUCACAAAUACAGAUGGUUUGGGGUUUACAGAAUUGGCUUGAACAGAUUAAUAGCGCCACAACCUAAGCAGAUUUAGGAAAUCAGCUGGAUGCUUGACAGGCUUAGCAACCGCGUGAUGGUAACGAACCGCGGCCAGAGCCGCCCAGUGCCGAGCCGUUCUGGUCACCGGGCUGCAAUGUCACAGCCAGUGCAGGGUCCCCAGUGCCGAGCCGUUCUGGUCACCGGGCUGCAACGUCACAGCCGGCGCAGGGUCCCCAGUGCCGAGCCGUUCUGGUCACCGGGCUGCAAUGUCACAGCCGGCGCAGGGUCCCCAGUGCCGAGCCGUUCUGGUCACCUCUUCUCCAGUCUGGCCAUACGCUGCUGAUGGAAGGAUUGGUGCUUUAGAUCCUGGAGCAUUUUUAUUUCCCUGCAAUGUACCAUGUAUCAUUUUUAGGUUAAGUCUCAGACAUGGCCAAUCUCAUCAGUUGUGUACUCAGUUACCAUGCUGAAUGCAUUACGACUGAAAACAGAUCAGAAGAUGUUGUUGGAUGCUAUUGCCCUUCUAGCAGUCAGCCGGAAUCUCAGUUCUCUCCUGCUUUGAAUUUCAACAUGAAAGGCCUUUCUCCUCUAAAACAGACAGCUUGUUUCUACAUUUUUAGCUACAGUGGAUCCACAGCCUGACUGAGAACACAGGUCAUAAAGUCCUGAGGUAGGCACACGGUUAAGGACUGAAAAUACACCACGUUCAAGCCGGGAUUUGUUUUAAAACUCUGAUGGUCUCCUGCAUUUUAUGGCAAAUGCUUAACUUGUAUAUUGGGAGAGUUAUUCAGCUGCCGUGAUAAAUCUUGCCCAAAAGUCAUUAUUUGCCGUUGUCAUACCUUCAUAGGCUGUGCCUCAAGGCUACGAUUUUGUGCAACCACGUGUUAUUGUCCCGUGUGUUAUGAAUAGAUUUUGUAGGCCACCUGC
This is a long non-coding RNA of Columba livia (rock pigeon), 2710 nucleotides long. RefSeq lists it as uncharacterized. The transcript is spliced from 2 exons. NCBI's taxonomy places the organism in Eukaryota, Metazoa, Chordata, Aves, Columbiformes, Columbidae. The record is from RefSeq and is a predicted model, not a curated record.